CCUACGGGUGGCAGCAGUGGGGAAUAUUGCACAAUGGGGGGAACCCUGAUGCAGCGAAGCCGCGUGAGUGAAGAAGUAUUUCGGUAUGUAAAGCUCUAUCAGCAGGGAAGAAAAUGACGGUACCUGACUAAGAAGCGCCGGCUAACUACGUGACAGCAGCCGCGGGCAUACGUAGGGGGCAAGCGUUAACCGGAUUUACGGGGUGUAAAGGGAGCGCAGACGGCUGUGCAAGGCUGGAGUGAAAGGCGGGGGCCCAACCCCCGGACGGCUCUGGAAACGGUAAGUCUGGAGUGCAUGAGAGGUAAGCGGAAUUCCUAGUGUAGCGGUGAAAUGCGUAGAUAUUAGGAGGAACUCCAGUGGCGAAGGCGGCUUACUGGACUGCAACUGACGUUGAGGCUCGAAAGCGUGGGGAGCAAACAGGAUUAGAUACCCCUGUAGUC
RNAcentral lists this ribosomal RNA (440 nucleotides) under uncultured bacterium. Its description in RNAcentral is "partial 16S ribosomal RNA". It matches the Rfam family "Bacterial small subunit ribosomal RNA", at positions 338 to 795 of the family's 1533-position model. The record is from RNAcentral.